This 440-nucleotide ribosomal RNA is filed under the name uncultured bacterium. RNAcentral's name for it is "partial 16S ribosomal RNA". It matches the Rfam family "Bacterial small subunit ribosomal RNA", at positions 338 to 795 of the family's 1533-position model. The record is from RNAcentral.
CCUACGGGAGGCAGCAGUGGGGAAUAUUGCACAAUGGGGGAAACCCUGAUGCAGCGACGCCGCGUGAGUGAAGAAGUAAUUCGUUAUGGAAAGCUCUAUCAGCAGGGGAGUAAAUGACGGUACCUGAGUAAGAAGCCCCGGCUAACUACGUGCCAGCAGCCGCGGUAAUACGUAGGGGGCCAGCGUUAUCCGGAUUUACUGGGUGUAAAGGGAGCGUAGAGGGCAGUGCAAGUCAGGAGUGAAAGUCGGGGGCUCAACCCCUGGACUGCACUGGAAACUGUACGGCUGGAGUGCAGGAGAGGUAAGUGGAAUUCGUGGUGUAGCGGUGAAAUGCGUAGAUAUCAGGAAGAACACCGGUGGCGAAGGCAGCUUACUGGACUGUAACUGACGUUGAGGCUCGAAAGCGUGGGGAGCAAACAGGAUUAGAUACCCUAGUAGUC